UCUUGAGUAGCUGGGACUACAGGCGCCUGCCACCACGCCCGGCUAAUUUUUUGUAUUUUUAGUAGAGAUGGAGUUUCACUGUGUUAGCCAGGAUGGUCUCGAUCUCCUGACCUGGUUAUCCGCUCGCCUCCGUGCUGGGAUUACAGGCGUGAACCACCGCACCUGGCCGUAAAUGAAACAGCCUUCUCUAUUUCUCUGGACCAUGUGGUGAAACCACUAGGUGCCUCUGAGUAUCCAUAAUACAGGAGCAUUCAGCACUCAGCAUUCCAGGAGAGAUGAAGUACAUCUUUUGUAACACCAAUUUGAAUUCCCAGGAAGGGGCAGCUGUAUGAAUAAAUCUGAUACAGGUACCCAAGUCUGGACCAAUCAGCUGCAUCCAGGGGUGCAACAACAUAUGGCUUCAGUGUGGUGCCUGCCCAGAGGACAAACAUUUAUGAAAGAAGGGAUGAUUGCUCUGAGAUACCCACACUGACCUACAGUUCUCACUGUGGAUGUGUUAAAUGAAUAAAAAGGAAGUCAUAUUCAGUUCUCCUGUUGUGACUCAUGUAUUCCUCCUGGACAGAAUAUUUUUUUCUACCUGAAUUAUUUUAAGAAAAACAUGUAGAAUUAAUAGAACGGCCAAAUGUAUUUAGGAGUAGAGGAGAUUAUUAGAAUUUUAUCUUUCUUUCAACUUACACUAUUUGUCAUAAGAGUUAGAUGUUUAUGGGCACCAAUCCCACCUCUUCCACUUAGUUUUGCAUGCUUCACAUAUGCUAUUUCCCUCAAUAAAAUAUACCUUUCUCCUCUGUAAAAUGGUGAGAAUAAUUAAUAAUGAGUCAGUAUUAUUGUAUAGAUGAAAUGAUAUAUUUAAUGAACAGUGCUUAAUGUAUGCCUAACAUAUAGCAAGCAUGGUAUUAGUAAUCUAUUAUUACUUUUAUUUUUAUCAGAAAAUUAUCUUACUUUUCUUUUGCCACUAUAGGAAAUUGUCACAAAUUUUAUGUCUUAAAAACGGCACAAAUUCAAUAUCAUCAGAAGGUCAGAAGUCUGAAACUGGUUUCACUGAAUUGGAAUCAAGCUGUCAGCAGGGCUGCACUGCUUCUGGAGGCUUUAAAGGAGAAUCAAUUUCCUUGCGUUUUACAGCUUCUAGAGGCUAGCCACCUGCGUUCCUUGGCUCAUGGUUCUUUCUUUUACUGUCAAAGCCAGCAGUAUAGCAUCUUCAAAUUUCUAUCUCUGACUCUGAUAUCACUGCCUUCCUCUUAUAAGGAUACUUGUGACUAAACUGAGCUCACCUGCGUUACCCAGGAUGAUCUCCCCAUCAAAGAUUCUUAAUCAUUUCUGCCCUGUAAGUUAACGUAUUGAUGGGUAAUGUGGACAUCUUUGAGGAGCUGUUAUUCUGCCCACCACACCGAUAACAUUUCUCCUUCUUCACAUUAAGCCUUGAGUUUACAAAACUUACUCUAUGAAUAUGUCAUUUAGUUCUAAAUCAAUUUUUGGUCUGCAAAUCUAUUUCCUAACUGAAGAGAACAUACUAACUGAAGAGAAAAUAUUAAUAAAGUCAGAUUUAUAGAAUGAAAAAAAUAUAAUUAUUGAUGCUGGCAUUAGACUAUUAUGAAAAUAUUUCUCAUACAUAUAUUCAUGACUAUCUUUUGAUAUUAUGUUCAUACAUUCAAGUCCUG
Molecule: long non-coding RNA, 1655 nt
Filed under: Homo sapiens (human)
Lineage: Eukaryota; Metazoa; Chordata; Mammalia; Primates; Hominidae
Description: HSALNT0203228
Source: RNAcentral